CGGGCAUUAGCGCAGUUUGGUAGCGCGUCCCGUUUGGGGCGGGAAGGUCAUAAGUUCAAAUCUUAUAUGCCCGA
RNAcentral lists this transfer RNA (74 nucleotides) under Synechococcus phage S-BM3. It matches the Rfam family "tRNA". Rfam says of the family: Transfer RNA (tRNA) molecules are approximately 80 nucleotides in length. Their secondary structure includes four short double-helical elements and three loops (D, anti-codon, and T loops). Lineage: Duplodnaviria; Heunggongvirae; Uroviricota; Caudoviricetes; Pantevenvirales; Kyanoviridae. The record is from Rfam by way of RNAcentral.